This 122-nucleotide ribosomal RNA is filed under the name Macrocystis pyrifera (giant kelp). Lineage: Eukaryota; Phaeophyceae; Laminariales; Laminariaceae. The record is from RNAcentral.
GUCUUGGUGUUUAAAGGAUAGUGGAACCACAUUGAUCCAUUUCGAACUCAAUGGUGAAACGCUAUAACAGUUACAAUACUUAAGGAGUAGUCCUUUGGGAAGAUAGCUUAUGCCAGGACUUU